AGUGGCGGACGGGUGAGUAAUGCUUGGGAAUCUGGCCUAUGGAGGGGGAUAACAACGGGAAACUGUUGCUAAUACCGCGUAGUAUCGGGAGAUGAAAGGGGGCGCAAGCUCCUGCCAUGGGAUGAGCCCAAGUGGGAUUAGGUAGUUGGUGAGGUAAUGGCUCACCAAGCCUGCGAUCUCUAGCUGGUCUGAGAGGAUGGCCAGCCACACUGGAACUGAGACACGGUCCAGACUCCUACGGGAGGCAGCAGUGGGGAAUAUUGCGCAAUGGGGGGAACCCUGACGCAGCCAUGCCGCGUGAAUGAAGAAGGCCUUCGGGUUGUAAAGUUCUUUCGGUGAUGAGGAAGGGAUGU
Molecule: ribosomal RNA, 353 nt
Filed under: Necropsobacter rosorum
Lineage: Bacteria; Pseudomonadati; Pseudomonadota; Gammaproteobacteria; Pasteurellales; Pasteurellaceae
Description: bacterial SSU rRNA
Rfam family: Bacterial small subunit ribosomal RNA
Source: RNAcentral